UUUUUUAUUAACAUUUUUUUAUUAUAUAGUAUAAUAUCAUAAAUUAAAAAUAAUAUUAACUAAAAGUUAAAAAAAUAAUAACUGAUUAGUUAGAGAAAUAUUAGGAAAUCAUAAUUUUUUUUUUUUUUUUUGGAAAUCAUAAAAUUAGUUAUGGAAAUAAUAUAAUCUUAAAAUUAGAUUUGGAAAGUAUCCGAUGUAUGUAUCCAAACCCAAUUUAGUAUCCAACUUUGAAGUAUCCAAUUGUUAAAAUCGGGUUAAAUUUUCAAUUUUGAC
Molecule: long non-coding RNA, 273 nt
Filed under: Capsella rubella
Lineage: Eukaryota; Viridiplantae; Streptophyta; Magnoliopsida; Brassicales; Brassicaceae
Description: long non-coding RNA (CRUB_LNC002151)
Source: RNAcentral